This 515-nucleotide ribosomal RNA is filed under the name uncultured bacterium. RNAcentral describes it as "partial 16S ribosomal RNA". It matches the Rfam family "Bacterial small subunit ribosomal RNA", at positions 28 to 523 of the family's 1533-position model. The record is from RNAcentral.
GAUGAACGCUGGCGGCGUGCCUAAUACAUGCAAGUCGAGCGAAUGGAUUAAGAGCUUGCUCUUAUGAAGUUAGCGGCGGACGGGUGAGUAACACGUGGGUAACCUGCCCAUAAGACUGGGAUAACUCCGGGAAACCGGGGCUAAUACCGGAUAACAUUUUGAACCGCAUGGUUCGAAAUUGAAAGGCGGCUUCGGCUGUCACUUAUGGAUGGACCCGCGUCGCAUUAGCUAGUUGGUGAGGUAACGGCUCACCAAGGCAACGAUGGGUAGCCGACCUGAGAGGGUGAUCGGCCACGCUGGGACGGAGACACGGCCCAGACUCCUACGGGAGGCAGCAGUAGGGAAUCUUCCGCAAUGGACGAAAGUCUGACGGAGCAACGCCGCGUGGGUGAUGAAGGCUUUCGGGUCGUAAAACUCUGUUGUUAGGGAAGAACAAGUGCUAGUUGAAUAAGCUGGCACCUUGACGGUACCUAACCAGAAAGCCACGGCUAACUACGUGCCAGCCGCCGCGGUAA